GAUGAACGCUGGCGGCGUGCCUAAUACAUGCAAGUCGAGCGAACGGACGAGAAGCUUGCUUUUCUGAUGUUAGCGGCGGACGGGUGAGUAACACGUGGAUAACCUACCUAUAAGACUGGGAUAACUUCGGGAAACCGGAGCUAAUACCGGAUAAUAUUUUGAACCGCAUGGUUCAAAAGUGAAAGACGGUCUUGCUGUCACUUAUAGAUGGAUCCGCGCUGCAUUAGCUAGUUGGUAAGGUAACGGCUUACCAAGGCAACGAUGCAUAGCCGACCUGAGAGGGUGAUCGGCCACACUGGAACUGAGACACGGUCCAGACUCCUACGGGAGGCAGCAGUAGGGAAUCUUCCGCAAUGGGCGAGAGCCUGACGGAGCAACGCCGCGUGAGUGAUGAAGGUCUUCGGAUCGUAAAACUCUGUUAUUAGGGAAGAACAUAUGUGUAAGUAACUGUGCACAUCUUGACGGUACCUAAUCAGAAAGCCACGGCUAACUACGU
Molecule: ribosomal RNA, 496 nt
Filed under: uncultured bacterium
Lineage: Bacteria
Description: partial 16S ribosomal RNA
Rfam family: Bacterial small subunit ribosomal RNA
Source: RNAcentral